Gigantopelta aegis is the source of this 3127-nucleotide long non-coding RNA. RefSeq lists it as uncharacterized. Lineage: Eukaryota; Metazoa; Mollusca; Gastropoda; Neomphalida; Peltospiridae. The transcript is spliced from 2 exons. The record is from RefSeq and is a predicted model, not a curated record.
AGUAACAGACUAAAUUGUAUUUUGGAAAAUAAUAAGAUAUUCAAGAAACAAAAUAUAUUGUAAAAUAAACAUGAUUAUAUGUGAACUUAUUAACGUCCAUAACAACUAACGUCCGUAACGAAAACUUUCUAACGUACCCUGCUUCGAAAUCGGAACUUUUAUUAUGCCACAACCAAAUGGGUCGACACCGUUGUAAUAUCAACUCGAGCAGACGACAAUUUGAAAGUAUAGUUUGGGCGAGUGUGUGAGAUACCAUGUGAUAUAUUACCUUCAAGAAAUCAUGCCAUUGUCGAACGCUGAACGUCAGAAAAGAUGGAGAGAGAAAAACAAAUAUUUGAAAACAGAAACAUAUUUUACGAAAGAGAAAGACAGAGACGCAGAAACCGCUAUGUAACCGUUGCACAACUGAGUUUGGCUGCUUUGAAGAAACAAGAAAAGAAACAAAUAUACGGGUUAAAAAAUAUUACAUAAAUGAAAAAGAAAAGGAAAACAACCAGAAGAAUGUCAUGGAACAUAAUUUAGAUAGUGGCAGUAAAUACCCUAGUUCAUGUACUAGAAGCAAAAUUUCAACACAGGACAUAACUGGUAAACUAAUAGUAAAAAUGCCGAUAUUAAAGAACAGUGUGUCUGCUGGAUUAAGAAAGACAUACAAACGAGCUUUACGUAGAUCUUACAGAGAAAAUGAAGACCUUAGGGUGAAAAUAAAAUGUUUGAAUAGAGACAAGAAACGUUUACAGAAGAAACUUGAAAGAAUCCGCAGAAAUGAAAGGUGUACAAGUGACAAAUCGUUUUUAGCGGAUUGUUCAUCAGUUGAAGAAAACACCCUGACACCACACAGAAGAACAAAAUUCCAAAUGAGAAAAUCUGGAUUAGAUCCAAAGGGAUACAAAUUAGUAAGAAGUCGGUUGCUUAUGUCUAAUACAAUAAUAGCAGAUAUCAAGGCGAACCUGACAAAGAACAGAAAGACUUAUAAUAUUGCGUGCGCAGUGGUAAAGAAGUACAGAUGUUUGUCAACAUUUAGUAAGGCCGUUGGAAUAAGCAGACGAAAAAGCAUGAAAUAUUUGUUGCCAAAACGUACACGGAGAACAAUAAAAGUACAGCUGCUGGAGACUGUAACUGCAUUUUUGGAGCGUGAAGACAACAGCGUUCUUCUGCCUGGAAAAAGGGAUGUUAAACGUACUCGUGGGGUUGCAAAUCAGAAGCGGCUUUUGACAGACUAUCUACACAACAUUCAUGCCAAAUUCCAAUUGGAAAAUCCGGAUGUAAAAAUAUCAAAGUCUGUUUUUUACCAAAUGAAACCAACAUAUAUACUACAUGCUAACUUUUCAGCAAGAAGAACAUGUCUGUGCCCUCGUCACCAGAACAUGCUCUGAAAUUACGGAGUUUGAGGCAAUCUGGGAUUCAGUCUUCAAAAAACCCAGAUGUAUUCAUCAAGGCAUAUGAUGACGAACAUAUCGCGUGUGAAACUGAUGCGAAAUGUUCAGAAUCCGUCAAGUUUAUAAAUUGGAAGAAAGUAAAAGAUGGAGAAAAGCUGAGAUGGAAAGAGAUAGAAGAAACAGUACCAAAAACGAAAUUCAAAGAAACAUUUAUGUCAGAAUUAUCAACAUUUAGACAGCACGUAAAACGUGUACAAAUACAGUAUGCAGAGAUGAAACGAUAGGAAUGAAUCUUCAAGCAGGACAUGUACUUGUAUGGAUGGAUUUUGCGGAGAAUUUUCUUUGUUCGUCAGUAGAGGAAAUUCAGUCAGCAUACUGGAACAGCACGAUGGUCACGCUACAUACUAUUGUAGUUUACUUUCCAGAUGACCAUAGCAAGAAAUUGCAAAGCUUUGUUGCACUUUCAGAUCUGAUGCACCAUAACUCGACAGCAGUGUAUGCUGUUCUAAGAAAAUUAUUACCUAUUCUGAAGAAAGAGUACCCGCAAAUCGCAACUGUACAUUAUCUAACAGAUUCACCAACAAGUCAGUAUAGAAACAAAUUUAUUUUCCAGAUCCUACAAUACCAUUUUCUUGAGUUCGGAUUGGAAGCAAGAUGGAAUUAUUUGGAAUCUGGUCAUGGCAAAGGGCCAUGUGACGGGUUGGGUGGCAGUGUGAAACGAUCAGCAGAUAUGGCAGUAAAGCAAGGAAAAUGUAGCAUUCAAGGAGCCCAAGAUUUUUAUGUAUGAGGUCUGUCAAAUAAGGAAAACGGAAGCAAGGUGAAAUACAUCCUUUACUCACAGGAUGAAUAUGACGCAGCAGCAAAAGCUGUGGAGAAGAGGCUCACGCCAAUGGUAAUUCAUGGUACACUGAAGCUACAUGCAGUGGUACCUGUAUCAAACACAUCGCUGUGCGUUCGAGAGCUCUCUUGCAAUUGUCAGUCGUGCAUUAGAGACCCAACCUCUACACCUUGUGAGGGAUGGACAGUUCAUCAGUUAAAGACAAAACAGACAAAAGCAUCAAUCCAGGACUCAAAAGAAAAAGACAAACAAUCAAAUACGUCAGUUGUCGAAGAGACCAUAACACAUACAGCUGAUGAACAGUCAAAUGCGUCGGUUGUCGAAGAAGCUAUAACACAUACAGUUGAUCAAUGGGUUGCUGCUGUUUACGAUGGAAGAUGGUACAUUGGAGUAAUAACUGAAACUGACGAAAAUGACUCCACGUGUUUAACAGAAUUCAUGACAAGAUGUGGGAAGUACGAAAACCUUUUUAAAUGGCCUCCAAUUACAGACCAGAUAUGGGUAGCCAAUGAUAAAAUCCUGCUACAGCUGGAACAACCACCCAGUGCACUCGGGGAAAACUAAGAGAUGUUUUAAACUCGAAAUGCAGGAGAUUGAGAGGAUUGGUCGUUUAUUUAGCUUGUAGACAGACCUAAAAAGAAAAUGAUGAUUUGUUUAUUAUCUACAAUGACAAUGUUAACUAUUUAAUCAGGUUCUUUGUUAAAUCUGUUUGUUACAUUUGUUUUAAAAUGUUUGCAAUUACUAUUUAUUGGAAUACACGUAUGUACUGUUUUGACAAGUUACUGGUUACACAAGUAAACGGAAUAAUACAUUUCGACGAUAACAUACGUAACAGCCCAUUAUACACAAUGCAUAUUGUUUGUUUUGAAAUAAAAUGUAGAACAAUAUAUAAUUUGUGUCUGCAUUACUAUGA